RNAcentral lists this ribosomal RNA (1229 nucleotides) under metagenome. RNAcentral's name for it is "SSU rRNA". It matches the Rfam family "Eukaryotic small subunit ribosomal RNA", at positions 573 to 1823 of the family's 1831-position model. The record is from RNAcentral.
GCCGCGGUAAUUCCAGCUCCAAUAGCGUAUAUUAAUGUUGCUGCAGUUAAAAAGCUCGUAGUUGGAUUUCUGACUUGGCGCACCUGGCCCGCCACGGUUACGUGUGUGAGUGCCGGGAUGCGCCUGUCACUUUUCUAGUAAACUAUUGUGCUCUUCAUUGAGUGUGAUAGGUAGCUAGAUAAUUUACUUUGAAAAAAUUAGAGUGUUUAAAGCAGGCGUUUGCUAUGAAUACAUUAGCAUGGAAUAAUAACUUAGGACUUCGGUUCUAUUUUGUUGGUUUCUAGGACUGAAGUAAUGAUUGAUAGGGAUAGUUGGGGGUGCUAGUAUUCAGCGGCCAGAGGUGAAAUUCUCGGAUUCGCUGAAGACUAACUUAUGCGAAAGCAUUCACCAAGGAUGUCUUCUUUAAUCAAGAACGAAAGUUGGGGGAUCGAAGACGAUCAGAUACCGUCGUAGUCUCAACCAUAAACUAUGCCGACUAGGGAUGAGUGAACGUUGCAUAAUCGACUUCAUUCGCACCUUAUGAGAAAUCAAAGUCCUUGGGUUCCGGGGGGAGUAUGGUCGCAAGGCUGAAACUUAAAGGAAUUGACGGAAGGGCACCAUCAGGAGUGGAGCCUGCGGCUUAAUUUGACACAACACGGGGAAACUUACCAGGUCCAGACUCAGUGAGGAUUGACAGAUUGAAGAUCUUUCUUGAUUUUGAGGGUGGUGGUGCAUGGCCGUUCUUAGUUGGUGGAGCGAUUUGUCUGGUUUAUUCCGUUAACGAACGAGACCACGACCUGCUAAAUAGUUCAAGUUAGGGUUCGCUCUAGCUGUUGUGACUUCUUAGAGGGACUAUCGGUGUGUAGCCGAUGGAAGUUCGUGGCAAUAACAGGUCUGUGAUGCCCUUCGAUGUUCUGGGCCGCACGCGCGCUACACUGAUGCAUUCAUCGAGCUACAACCUUGUCUGAGAGGACUGGGUAAUCUUUGAAAAUGCAUCGUGCUGGGGAUAGAUUAUUGUAAUUAUUAAUCUUCAACGAGGAAUUCCUAGUAAACGCGUGUCAUCAACACGCAUUGAUUACGUCCCUGCCCUUUGUACACACCGCCCGUCGCUACUACCGAUUGAAUGAAUUAGUGAGCUCCAGAGAUCGAGCUGUUUCGGGCAACCGGGGCAGUUUGAGAACUGGAUCAAACUUGCUCAUUUAGAGGAAGUAAAAGUCGUAACAAGGUUUCCGUAGGUGAACCUGCGGAAG